UACGGCGACCAUAGCGAUAGGGUCACAUCUGAACUCGUCUCGAUCUCAGUAAUAAAGUCUAUCCACGUUUUGUUUGGUACUAUAGAUGGUAAGUCUAUGGGAAUUUCAGAAAGUUGCCGGCC
Molecule: ribosomal RNA, 122 nt
Organism: Methanosphaera stadtmanae DSM 3091
Lineage: Archaea; Methanobacteriati; Methanobacteriota; Methanobacteria; Methanobacteriales; Methanobacteriaceae
Source: Rfam